Panthera uncia (snow leopard) is the source of this 127-nucleotide long non-coding RNA. RefSeq lists it as uncharacterized. The record is from RefSeq and is a predicted model, not a curated record. Lineage: Eukaryota; Metazoa; Chordata; Mammalia; Carnivora; Felidae. The transcript is spliced from 2 exons.
UCUGCGGGAACUUAGAGGUGAAUGCCUCGUCUUAGUCUUUCGAAGGUUAAGAUCAGGAAUCCUGUGGGUUGCCAGACUUCUGUAAAUUCGUUGAAAUAUAGAUGAAGUUCCAUCCUGAAGAGCAGAA